Molecule: ribosomal RNA, 468 nt
Filed under: uncultured bacterium
Lineage: Bacteria
Description: partial 16S ribosomal RNA
Rfam family: Bacterial small subunit ribosomal RNA
Source: RNAcentral
GACGAACGCUGGCGGCGUGCUUAACACAUGCAAGUCGAACGGUGAAGCUCCAGCUUGCUGGAGUGGAUCAGUGGCGAACGGGUGAGUAACACGUGAGCAACCUGCCCCUGACUCUGGAAUAAGCGCUGGAAACGGCGUCUAAUACUGGAUACGAGAAGGGUCCGCAUGGGCACUUUCUGGAAAGUUUUUCGGUUGGGGAUGGGCUCGCGGCCUAUCAGCUUGUUGGUGAGGUAAUGGCUCACCAAGGCGACGACGGGUAGCCGGCCUGAGAGGGCGACCGGCCACACUGGGACUGAGACACGGCCCAGACUCCUACGGGAGGCAGCAGUGGGGAAUAUUGCACAAUGGGCGAAAGCCUGAUGCAGCGACGCCGCGUGAGGGAUGACGGCCUUCGGGUUGUAAACCCCUUUCAGCAGGGAAGAAGCGAAAGUGACGGUACCUGCAGAAGAAGCACCGGCUAACUACGUG